This 539-nucleotide ribosomal RNA is filed under the name uncultured bacterium. RNAcentral's name for it is "bacterial SSU rRNA". It matches the Rfam family "Bacterial small subunit ribosomal RNA", at positions 193 to 770 of the family's 1533-position model. The record is from RNAcentral.
CCUACGGGGGAAAGAUUUCGGGGAUGGAUGAGCCCGCGUUGGAUUAGCUAGUUGGUGGGGUAAAGGCCUACCAAGGACGAUCCAUAGCUGGUCUGAGAGGAUGAUCAGCCACAUUGGGACUGAGACACGGCCCACUCCUACGGGAGGCAGCAGUGGGGAAUAUUGGACAAUGGGCGCAAGCCUGAUCCAGCUGCCGCGUGAGUGAUGAAGGCCUUAGGGUUGUAAAGCUCUUUCACCGGAGAAGAUAAUCGGUAUCCGGAGAAGAAGCCCCGGCUAACUUCGUGCCAGCAGCCGCGGUAAUACGAAGGGCUAGCGUUGUUCGGAAUUACUGGGCGUAAAGCGCACGUAGGCGGACUUUUAAGUCAGGUGAAAUCCCGGGGCUCAACCCCGGAACUGCCUUUGAUACUGGAAGUCUGGAGUAUGAGAGGUAAGUGGAAUUCCGAGUGUAGAGGUGAAAUUCGUAGAUAUUCGGAGGAACACCUGGCGAAGGCGGCUUACUGGUCCAUUACUGACGCUGAGGUGCGAAAGCGUGGGGAGCA